RNAcentral lists this unclassified non-coding RNA (390 nucleotides) under soil metagenome. RNAcentral's name for it is "partial contains 5.8S ribosomal RNA, internal transcribed spacer 2, and large subunit ribosomal RNA". The stretch from base 1 to 120 matches the Rfam family "5.8S ribosomal RNA", at positions 35 to 154 of the family's 154-position model. The record is from RNAcentral.
GAUGAAGAACGUAGCGAAAUGCGAUAAGUAAUGUGAAUUGCAGAAUUCAGUGAAUCAUCGAAUCUUUGAACGCAUCUUGCGCUCCUUGGUAUUCCGAGGAGCAUGCCUGUUUGAGUGUCAUUUAACUUCUCAACCACAUUGGAUAUUUUUUUUCCGAUGCCGGCUUGGAUGUGGGGGUUGUUUGCAGGCUUUUUGUAACAAAAAAGGUCGGCUCCCCUGAAAUGUAUUAGUGGUAUCUGAGGCUAUUACUAUUAGGUGUGAUAAUUAUCUAUGCCUUUUGGGUAUGCCGCAUGAACAGAUUAUGCUGCUUCUAACGAAAACUAUUUUGAUGAAUUUGACCUCAAAUCAGGUAGGACUACCCGCUGAACUUAAGCAUAUCAAUAGGGAGGA